RNAcentral lists this ribosomal RNA (588 nucleotides) under Lodderomyces parapsilosis. RNAcentral describes it as "partial large subunit ribosomal RNA". It matches the Rfam family "Eukaryotic large subunit ribosomal RNA", at positions 50 to 654 of the family's 3401-position model. Lineage: Eukaryota; Fungi; Ascomycota; Pichiomycetes; Serinales; Debaryomycetaceae. The record is from RNAcentral.
GCGGAGGAAAAGAAACCAACAGGGAUUGCCUUAGUAGCGGCGAGUGAAGCGGCAAAAGCUCAAAUUUGAAAUCUGGCACUUUCAGUGUCCGAGUUGUAAUUUGAAGAAGGUAUCUUUGGGUCUGGCUCUUGUCUAUGUUUCUUGGAACAGAACGUCACAGAGGGUGAGAAUCCCGUGCGAUGAGAUGUCCCAGACCUAUGUAAAGUUCCUUCGAAGAGUCGAGUUGUUUGGGAAUGCAGCUCUAAGUGGGUGGUAAAUUCCAUCUAAAGCUAAAUAUUGGCGAGAGACCGAUAGCGAACAAGUACAGUGAUGGAAAGAUGAAAAGAACUUUGAAAAGAGAGUGAAAAAGUACGUGAAAUUGUUGAAAGGGAAGGGCUUGAGAUCAGACUUGGUAUUUUGUAUGUUACUCUCUCGGGGGUGGCCUCUACAGUUUACCGGGCCAGCAUCAGUUUGAGCGGUAGGAUAAGUGCAAAGAAAUGUGGCACUGCUUCGGUAGUGUGUUAUAGUCUUUGUCGAUACUGCCAGCUUAGACUGAGGACUGCGGCUUCGGCCUAGGAUGUUGGCAUAAUGAUCUUAAGUCGCCCGUCU